Molecule: non-coding RNA, 264 nt
Organism: Vicia faba (fava bean)
Lineage: Eukaryota; Viridiplantae; Streptophyta; Magnoliopsida; Fabales; Fabaceae
Source: the annotation of a GenBank genome assembly
AUGGCCAUUGACGGAGCUCUGAACCCAACCUUCUAUUGUUUUCUCUUUUUCCAACAACAACAAUCUACAGAGCAAAAAUUAAGGAAAAGAAAAGUUACCGAGUCAGAGUUCCUCCGAUGGUCCUUUAAGACCAGUAUUACGCAGGUUUUGGACAACAAUAUGUACAUGUUAUGCAGGGUUGGAUUUUGGACGUUUAUGACAGGAGUAGCAGCUGGUUUGAGCAGCAUAGCAGGGAAUACUCUUGGGCCAAUGAUUUUACUCUAG